CCUACGGGUGGCAGCAGUGGGGGAUAUUGCACAAUGGGGGAAACCCUGAUGCAGCGACGCCGCGUGUGGGAAGACGGUCCUCUGGAUUGUAAACCACUGUCCCCAGGGACGAAGAUGACGGUACUUGGGGAGGAAGUUCCGGCUAACUACGUGCCAGCAGCCGCGGUAAUACGUAGGGAGCGAGCGUUGUCCGGAAUUACUGGGUGUAACGGGAGCGUAGGCGGGGAUGCAAGUUGGGUGUCAAAACUACCGUCUAAACUGGUAGUCGCACUCAAAAGUGCAGCUCUUGAGUGAAGUAGAGGCAGGCGGAAUUCCUGGUGUAGCGGUGAAAUGCAUAGAUAUCACGCAGAACCCCGAUUGCGAAGGCAGCAUGCCGGCUUCCGACUGACGCUGAAGCACGAAAGCGUGGGGAUCGAACAGGAUUAGAUACCCUAGUAGUC
This 440-nucleotide ribosomal RNA is filed under the name uncultured bacterium. RNAcentral describes it as "partial 16S ribosomal RNA". It matches the Rfam family "Bacterial small subunit ribosomal RNA", at positions 338 to 795 of the family's 1533-position model. The record is from RNAcentral.